GGGGAUGACUAGGCUUCGACAGGGAGGGCUGGUCAGCGAUUGCAAGCCGAGGUGCCUCAACCUCGAUAAUCAGGGGCAAACACCAUAGGUGCCAAAAACACUUAUACUCCGGCCUACGCCCUGGCCGCCUAGCGGCGGAACGGGCGAAAGCCACUGAUCGACCAAGAGUCGAUCACGUCUGCUCCUCUGCUUCUCCCGAGAGCGAGGAAGCGGGCGACGACUAAUUCGGGAUGCGGUCAGUGUGACGCCGAUGGGGCUGGCCAAAGAUGCAUCGGCUGGUGGGCUGAGGACUCUGUCGGGCGAGGCCCGGCCCACGAGAACCCAAAGCACCGACUAAGCUUGUAGCAUAUCUCUGGUCGAACUUUCUGGACGCGGGUUCGAUUCCCGCCAUCUCCACUU
This 399-nucleotide transfer-messenger RNA is filed under the name Anaerolineales bacterium. It matches the Rfam family "transfer-messenger RNA". From Rfam's summary of the family: Bacterial tmRNA, also known as 10Sa RNA or SsrA, is named for its dual tRNA and mRNA-like properties. Lineage: Bacteria; Bacillati; Chloroflexota; Anaerolineae; Anaerolineales. The record is from RNAcentral.